CGCGUAGGCGGCUUGGCAAGUCCGUUGUGAAAUCUCACAGCUCAACUGUGAAACUGCGACGGAAACUGCCUCGCUAGAGUGCGGGAGAGGAGAGUGGAAUUCCCAGUGUAGAGGUGAAAUUCGUAGAUAUUGGGAGGAACACCGGUGGCGAAGGCGGCUCUCUGGACCGCAACUGACGCUGAGGCGCGAAAGCUAGGGGAGCAAACG
Molecule: ribosomal RNA, 207 nt
Filed under: uncultured bacterium
Lineage: Bacteria
Description: partial 16S ribosomal RNA
Rfam family: Bacterial small subunit ribosomal RNA
Source: RNAcentral